Molecule: ribosomal RNA, 495 nt
Filed under: uncultured bacterium
Lineage: Bacteria
Description: partial 16S ribosomal RNA
Rfam family: Bacterial small subunit ribosomal RNA
Source: RNAcentral
GACGAACGCUGGCGGCGUGCCUAAUACAUGCAAGUAGAACGCUGAAGGAGGAGCUUGCUCUUCUGGAUGAGUUGCGAACGGGUGAGUAACGCGUAGGUAACCUGCCUGGUAGCGGGGGAUAACUAUUGGAAACGAUAGCUAAUACCGCAUAAUAGUAGAUGUUGCAUGAUAUUUACUUAAAAGGUGCAAUUGCACCACUACCAGAUGGACCUGCGUUGUAUUAGCUAGUUGGUGGGGUAACGGCUCACCAAGGCGACGAUACAUAGCCGACCUGAGAGGGUGAUCGGCCACACUGGGACUGAGACACGGCCCAGACUCCUACGGGAGGCAGCAGUAGGGAAUCUUCGGCAAUGGACGAAAGUCUGACCGAGCAACGCCGCGUGAGUGAAGAAGGUUUUCGGAUCGUAAAGCUCUGUUGUAAGAGAAGAACGAGUGUGAGAGUGGAAAGUUCACACUGUGACGGUAUCUGACCAGAAAGGGACGGCUAACUACGUG